AGUGAACGCUGGCGGUAGGCCUAACACAUGCAAGUCGAACGGCAGCACAGUAAGAGCUUGCUCUUACGGGUGGCGAGUGGCGGACGGGUGAGGAAUACAUCGGAAUCUACUUUUUCGUGGGGGAUAACGUAGGGAAACUUACGCUAAUACCGCAUACGACCUACGGGUGAAAGCAGGGGAUCUUCGGACCUUGCGCGAUUGAAUGAGCCGAUGUCGGAUUAGCUAGUUGGCGGGGUAAAGGCCCACCAAGGCGACGAUCCGUAGCUGGUCUGAGAGGAUGAUCAGCCACACUGGAACUGAGCCACCGUCCAGACUCCUACGGGAGGCAGCAGUGGGGAAUAUUGGACAAUGGGCGCAAGCCUGAUCCAGCCAUACCGCGUGGGUGAAGAAGGCCUUCGGGUUGUAAAGCCCUUUUGUUGGGAAAGAAAAGCAGCAGGUUAAUACCCCGCUGUUCUGACGGUACCCAAAGAAUAAGCACCGGCUAACUUCGUG
This 492-nucleotide ribosomal RNA is filed under the name uncultured bacterium. RNAcentral describes it as "partial 16S ribosomal RNA". It matches the Rfam family "Bacterial small subunit ribosomal RNA", at positions 29 to 507 of the family's 1533-position model. The record is from RNAcentral.